CCUACGGGGUGCAGCAGUGGGGGAUAUUGCACAAUGGGGGGAACCCUGAUGCAGCGACGCCGCGUGGGUGAAGAAGCGCCUCGGCGCGUAAAGCCCUGUCAGCAGGGAAGAAAAUGACGGUACCUGAAGAAGAAGCCCCGGCUAACUACGUGCCAGCAGCCGCGGUAAUACGUAGGGGGCAAGCGUUAUCCGGAUUUACUGGGUGUAAAGGGGGCGCAGACGGCGUUGAAAGCCAGGAGGAAAAGCCCGGGGCCCAACCCCGGGACUGCUCUUGGAAUGGCGUGGCUGGGGUGGAGGGGGGGAGGCGGAAGUCCUGGUGUAGCGGUGAAAUGCGUAGAUAUCAGGAGGAACACCGGUGGCGAAGGCGGCCUGCUGGACUGCAACUGACGUUGAGGCCCGAAAGCGUGGGGAGCAAACAGGAUUAGAUACCCUUGUAGUC
RNAcentral lists this ribosomal RNA (439 nucleotides) under uncultured bacterium. RNAcentral's name for it is "partial 16S ribosomal RNA". It matches the Rfam family "Bacterial small subunit ribosomal RNA", at positions 338 to 795 of the family's 1533-position model. The record is from RNAcentral.